UACGAAGGGUGCAAGCGUUAAUCGGAAUUACUGGGCGUAAAGCGUGCGCAGGUGGUUUUGUAAGACAGAUGUGAAAUCCCCGGGCUUAACCUGGGAACUGCGUUUGUGACUGCAAGACUUGAGUGCGGCAGAGGGGGGUGGAAUUCCACGUGUAGCAGGGAAAUGCGUAGAGAUGUGGAGGAACACCGAUGGCGAAGGCAGCCCCUGGGUCGACACUGACACUCAUGCACGAAAGCGUGGGGAGCAAACAGGAUUAGAAACCCUGGUAGU
This 270-nucleotide ribosomal RNA is filed under the name uncultured bacterium. RNAcentral describes it as "partial 16S ribosomal RNA". It matches the Rfam family "Bacterial small subunit ribosomal RNA", at positions 524 to 794 of the family's 1533-position model. The record is from RNAcentral.